Molecule: RNA transcript, 1416 nt
Organism: Dufourea novaeangliae
Lineage: Eukaryota; Metazoa; Arthropoda; Insecta; Hymenoptera; Halictidae
Gene: lark
Gene name: RNA-binding protein lark
Exons: 7
Source: RefSeq, a predicted model, not a curated record
UGUUACGGUCCGCCAUUUUUUACCUCGGGAAGCGUGUGAUUUCGUGUCGUGUUUUAUCGCGUUGUUUUACGGAAAUACUGACUUGGUUCUAGAACGAGCCGAAAAUGCCGGGUUUUAGUAGCGUUGGCACGUUUAAAAUCUUCAUCGGUAAUCUUGCCGACAAGACGUCAAAUGCCGAUAUUAAACCGUUGUUUGAAAAAUACGGGAAGGUCGUAGAGUGCGACGUGGUCAAAAACUAUGGAUUCGUGCAUAUGGAGAACGAAGAGGCUGGAAGGAACGCAAUACAGAACCUGAACGGACAUAUAGUCCACGGGCAGCCGAUCAAAUGCGAGGCUGCGAAGAGUCGCAAGGGACCGAACACUCCGACAACUAAAAUAUUUGUCGGCAAUCUUACAGAUAACACCAAAGCGCCGCAAGUGCGCGAACUUUUCGCCAAGUACGGCACAGUUGUAGAGUGUGAUAUCGUGAGGAAUUACGGAUUCGUUCAUCUGGAAGCAACAGGUGACGUCAAUGACGCCAUCAAGGAGUUGAAUGGACAGAUGGUGGAUGGCCAACCUAUGAAGGUUCAAAUCUCCACCAGCAGAGUACGACAGAGGCCAGGAAUGGGUGAUCCUGAGCAAUGCUAUCGAUGCGGUCGCGGGGGUCACUGGUCCAAGGAAUGCCCCAAGGGAGGAAUGGGAGGAGGACCGGAUAGGAACGGAUACAGAGAACGAAUGUUUGGACGCGACCCGUAUCCUCCACCGCCGCCACCACCGUUCCUUCGGGACCGGCUAAUGGGUGGUGGCCGCUUUGGAGAUUACGAAAGCUACUAUGACAGGAGGGGCUUCGAGGACACCAGGGAUCUCUACGAGAGGCGGUUUACGGGUAUGGGAUCCAUGCGUGACACUGGCUUCUCCCGUGGUAACGAGUACGGAAUGUUCAGCCGCCGAUCACCCCCUCCGAGUGGCAACAACGGCCGGUUCAGUGCACCUCAGGCUGCGUACCAUCUUUGUCCAUGAAUGCGGGCAACCCUAGAGAGACAGUCCCGGGCCAACGUACAAGUCGUGCAAGAGACACGAUAACACCCUACCCCCCAAGCGCUUCUGUGGACAUUCUUGGAAGGAGCUCUGGGCUUGAUGUGAUGUUCGAGUACGGGAGAGAGAGGGAGGGUGAGAGAGGUCCAACGUGUCCCGUGUGGCGAGAGGUAAUUGUCGACCAGGACCUCAGGUGGCUCCAUUGACAAGGCGCGCACCGCAGCCGACAGAGGUGUCCCGAUAUAUGGGUUGCGAGACCGCAUCGUCGUAUCCAAGGCAAGUCCACCACCACACCAACCAACACACACAGUCUUCAGUAAUCUCAUCUUCAGUAAUCUCUGCGUAAGAAAGCAAGUAAAAAAGCACAAAAAAUUAAAACACACACAUACACGUACACACAUAC